CAUGCAGUCGAGGGGCAGCAUGGUGUAGCAAUACACUGAUGGCGACCGGCAAACGGGUGCGGAACACGUACAGAACCUUCCUUCGAGCGGGGAAUAGCCCAGAGAAAUUUGGAUUAAUACCCCAUAGUAUAACAGAGAGGCAUCUCUUUGUUAUUAAAGAUUUAUCACUUGAAGAUGGCUGUGCGGCUGAUUAGGUAGUUGGCGGGGUAACGGCCCACCAAGCCUACGAUCAGUAACUGGUGUGAGAGCACGACCAGUCACACGGGCACUGAGACACGGGCCCGACUCCUACGGGAGGCAGCAGUAAGGAAUAUUGGUCAAUGGACGAAAGUCUGAACCAGCCAUGCCGCGUGAAGGAUGAAGGUCCUCUGGAUUGUAAACUUCUUUUAUAUGGGACGAAAAUGGGCCUUUCUAGGUCAACUGACGGUACCAUAAGAAUAAGCACCGGCUAACUCCGUGCCAGCAGCCGCGGUAAUACGGAGGGUGCAAGCGUUAUCCGGAUUCACUGGGUUUAAAGGGUGCGUAGGUGGGUUGGUAAGUCAGUGGUGAAAUCCCCGAGCUUAACUCGGGAACUGCCAUUGAUACUAUCAGUCUUGAAUAUCGUGGAGGUCAGCGGAAUAUGUCAUGUAGCGGGUGAAAUGCUUAGAUAUGACAUAGAACACCANUUGCGAAGGCAGCUGGCUACCNAAUAUUGACACUGAGGCACGAAGCGUGGGAUCAAACAGGAUAGAUACCCUGGUAGUC
This 744-nucleotide ribosomal RNA is filed under the name uncultured Bacteroidota bacterium. Its description in RNAcentral is "bacterial SSU rRNA". It matches the Rfam family "Bacterial small subunit ribosomal RNA", at positions 54 to 795 of the family's 1533-position model. Lineage: Bacteria; Pseudomonadati; Bacteroidota. The record is from RNAcentral.